Molecule: ribosomal RNA, 260 nt
Filed under: uncultured bacterium
Lineage: Bacteria
Description: partial 16S ribosomal RNA
Rfam family: Bacterial small subunit ribosomal RNA
Source: RNAcentral
UACGGAGGGAGCUAGCGUUUGUUCGGAGUAUAACUGGGCGUAAAGCGGCACGUAGGCGGGCGCAGCAAGUCAGGGGUGAAAUCCCGGAGCUCAACUCCGGAACUGCCUUUGAAACUGCAGUGCUAGAAUCCUGGAGAGGCGAGUGGAAUUCCGAGUGUAGAGGUGAAAUUCGUAGAUAUUGGGAAGAACACCAGUGGCGAAGGCGGCUCACUGGUCCGAUACUGACGCGUGAGGUGGCGAAAGCGUGGGGAGCAAACAGG